This 440-nucleotide ribosomal RNA is filed under the name uncultured bacterium. RNAcentral's name for it is "bacterial SSU rRNA". It matches the Rfam family "Bacterial small subunit ribosomal RNA", at positions 56 to 485 of the family's 1533-position model. The record is from RNAcentral.
UGCAGUCUAGGGGAAUUAACCUUCGGGUGAAGUUUCACUGGCGAACGGGUGAGUAACGCGUGAGGAACCUACCUCAUAGAUUGGGACAACACAGAGAAAUUUGUGCUAAUACCGGAUAAGCCCACGUGCUUAGAUGUGUGUGGGAAAAGGCGGGGUAACCUGCCGCUUUGAGAUGGCCUCGCGUGCCAUUAGCUAGUUGGUAGGGUAAUGGCCUACCAAGGCUACGAUGGCUAGGCGGCCUGAUAGGGUGGCCGCCCGCACUGGAACUGAGACACGGACCANACUCCUACGGGAGGCAGCAGUGGGGAAUUUUGCGCAAUGACCGUAAGGUUGACGCAGCAACGCCGCGUGUAUGAUGAAGGCUUUCGGGUCGUAAAGUACUUUCGGCAGGGAAGAAUGGUAAGGGGAGUAACUGCCCUUUAAUUGACGGUACCUGCAGA